Pilatotrama ljubarskyi is the source of this 97-nucleotide non-coding RNA. The record is from the annotation of a GenBank genome assembly. Lineage: Eukaryota; Fungi; Basidiomycota; Agaricomycetes; Polyporales; Polyporaceae.
UCUCUGUUAGUAUAUCGGUUAGUACACGCGCCUGUCACAAGCGAUGAUGUCGUACUGCUGACCGCGCGAAAGCGGGGUUCGACUCCCCGACAGAGAG